This 918-nucleotide unclassified non-coding RNA is filed under the name Hevea brasiliensis (rubber tree). The record is from RNAcentral. Lineage: Eukaryota; Viridiplantae; Streptophyta; Magnoliopsida; Malpighiales; Euphorbiaceae.
CGCCGCUACUUUUAUAUUAGAGCUUGAGUGACAAGUCAAGCUUUUGCAAAUCAUCUCGUUUAGUCUUCAAAUGGUUAACACCAGCAUCCCACCAGAAUCCCCCAAUUCCUUCCUUUGCCGGGGAAAAUUUUCUUGCAGUUUCAAAUCUUGCAACCCCGUUACUAGGAGAUGAUCCCUUAUUUGUUUCCAUAUAAAAACUCUCCGAUGCCAGCCUCCCAACUGCCGGUUGCUGAAUAGGUUGUCUAGACCAUCCAUUUUGCCCAUAAAUAUUUGUAGAACCAAGAGUGGAAGAUGGUAAAAAAGUUGGCUUGUGGAUCAUAGAGUGCACCUGGAUUCCAAGUGAUCUAUUUAAGGAUCCAUGCAAAGGAAGGGAGGCCAUGCUAGUGUAUCGAUUUAGGUGUGAGUUAGGGUGAUGACCAAGACCAAAAGAGCCUGUACUGAUUCUUUGUCCACGUUUAGCUAGUGUUCUUUCUCUCUUGUGAGCAUUUUGGUGACCCCCAAGUGCCUGUGAGCUAUAGAAUUUUCGUUGACAAUAGUUGCAUGAGAAUAUUCGAGGCUCGGUUUCAUUACCUUGAGGAGUAUCCAGGGACGACUUCUGCGAUGACUCCAUGUCAAAAGAAUCGAUGAGAUUGAGUUCUGGCUUGGAAUCUUUGCUAGUGAGGCUUAGAUCCAAUACAAGAUCAUCUUCUUGGUGCUUUUGGUCUCUUUGUUCUUCUUCUUCCAAUUCUUCUCCUCCUAGUUGUUUUACCUCUUUUUGAUUGUCCAUCGAGGCUUUUAGGGAUGGGGUUGGAGGAGCAUUUGAAACUGAGAUGAUGCUUGAAGUUUCAGAGAGGCAUACCUCUGAUCUUGGAGGCUCCAUGUGAUGAAUUAUGAAGAGAGCAUUUCCUCUUUAUGAAGCGAGGAGGGGGGUUGGGUUUA